Molecule: long non-coding RNA, 316 nt
Organism: Spea bombifrons (plains spadefoot toad)
Lineage: Eukaryota; Metazoa; Chordata; Amphibia; Anura; Pelobatidae
Exons: 3
Source: RefSeq, a predicted model, not a curated record
UAUUCCACCUCUCACCCCCCAACCCAUGUUGAGCAUCCAAUCGCGUUGGGGUACGGAUCACAUUUCGGUAUAACUGUGACACAUAACCAGGCCAGGGGGUGAUUGAAAAGUCUCACAACUGCUCGGACCCCCAGUGCUGCUCUCUGCUCUCGGGCCACAGACCAAAAGCCAUCAUGUCUGACACAGAGGAAGUUGAACAGGUGGAGGGUAUGUACAAAACAUGCUUGCUAUAUAUAGUAAAAGUAUAUGAAUUAAUAUUAUUUCUAUAUAAUGCGAUAAUUCUUAAUGUUGCCGUUAACACACUAAUAAUUUGUCA